AUUCAUCUGAUGAGUCCCAAAUAGGACGAAAUGAACAUUCUGGAU
Non-coding RNA from Trichobilharzia regenti, 45 nucleotides. The record is from Rfam. Lineage: Eukaryota; Metazoa; Platyhelminthes; Trematoda; Strigeidida; Schistosomatidae.